UUUGUUCACUUUUCCCUCUAACACUCCUGACUCCCAACUCCCUCGGAACACAAUUCCCCUUUCCCUCUAAAUUUUUUCACUUUUCCCUCUUAACACUCCCAACUCACGCCAACUGACAACACGCAACUAAAGAGAAAAGCGACUAAAGAUCAAGACAAUUGAAAAAAAGAAUACCUAACUUUCUAAGUGAGACCUGGGAGAGUGAGAGGCUGGGCAGCGGCAGCAGAGCAAUAGCAGAAGCAGGAAUUCGAACCCCACAGGUGUUCUCGACAUUGACAGCGUGCAUAGACAAGAAUUUAUUGCGUGGUUUGAAAAAAGAAUCACCAACUUAUAUAAUACAAGGCAAGUUGAUGGGCAUAUGUUUUCAUUAGCUCAGGGCCCUGAGAAAAGGGCUAUUUUUUUAUCGAGGUUACAAUGUUAAUGGGUUCAGAUUUCAUACAAAUCAAUGUGAUGAAAGUAAAAGAGCACAAAAUAAUGGAGUUAUGGUGAGAGGGGAGGAUCAAAUUUUCAAUGUGCUUUAUUAUAGACAACUAACAAACAUUGUUGAACUUCAAUAUGCUGAAGGGAACAAAGUUGUGUUCUUUAAAUGUGAUUGGUGUGAUGUAUCUCGUGAAGGAAUUGGUUAUAACUUAUAAGAGGGAUCGGCACGGAACCAUUAUUGUGAAUACAUCACGAAAGUUGAAAACUGUAGAGCCAUUUGUAUUAGCAUGUCAAGCAACUCAAGUUUACUAUGUUAAUGGAAUAAAAGAUCCCACAUGGAAUGUUGUGAUUGAAACGAAGCCACGAAACUUUUAUGAAAUGCCAUCAGAUGAAGAAGAGCCAUACCAAGAAGAAGAAAAUUUACACUGUAAUGCAAAUGUGCUGCAAGAAGAAAAUGAGGAUGAUGAUAUAGAUUGGAGGAGUGGUGUUGAGAAUAUGAUAAUCGAGUGACUGUUAGGGGUGAGAAUGCAAUGCAGCUUUUGGAGAGCAGUUUGAAAGUGAAGGAAUAUGAGUUGCUGUGAAGGAACUUUAGUGAUACUGGAUGUUUUGGGUUUGGUAUUCAGGAGCACAUUGAUUUGGGAAUCAACCCAACCUAAGAUGCAUGUUUACUGUUUUUAAAGAGUCCUUGCCUGCCUAGGUGCCAACAUUCUGCUUCCAAGGCCAUGCUUCCCAUCCUAUGGUGCUCAUGCCUCAUCUAACAAUCUUGAAGUCCGUUAUUUUGAUCUGAUUCCAGAAAAGGGUUGGGAGGUUGACAUUGAAAGCAUAGAAGCUCUUGCUGAUGAGAAUACUGUUGCGAUGGUUAUCAUAAACCCUGGCAAUCCUUGUGGAAGUGUCUAUACACACCAACAUUUAAAGAAGGUAGGUUAAACCAUUAAUGUACUUAACUAGGCAACAUUAAGUCUUAACUUCAACUCCAAUCCUAAUUCACAACUUUACCUCCUUAGCCAAGGUGUUCUCAGGGGACGAGUAAAAUCUUGACCUUUAAUAUAUCAACUACAAUCGACUCAAAAAAUAGCAUUCAAAAUUUACCUCCUUACCUGAUUUCUUUAUCAUUUGAGCCAAUGUCUAUUUGGAAGUAGAGUCAAAUUUGUUUUGAGAAUAUCAAAAUGUCUAUAAGUUCAUAAUAAGAAUGACUUAAAGCUUUUAGUGGCGAAACAACGAUUAAAUUUUAGUUUAUUUUGCUAGACUCUCAUAUGAUCUUGUUACUUACAUGUAACACAAUGGUGGAUUUAAUGGUUUAGAAACAUUUCUGCAAUAAGCGUGAGUUUUCAUAUGAUCUUUUUUUGCUCGCUCACGUUCUCGAUUAGCUUCUCCAUGGAGUUUGUAUUACUUUUUAGCUUAAGCAUGCCGUUCUCUGUGGGGGUGUUGUUUACAAUAGAGGUCGAGCACUAGUUGGAAGACGUGGGCGGUCAUCAUCCUACUUUGGAUCACCUAGUCCACACAAGUUACCUCAGAGAUCAAGGAGUCGUAGCCUGAGAAGCUUGGAUGGCUCUUCCUCUGCCCCUGGGAUGGAGGGUGAGAUCAUAGAUUCAAGACUCACCUGGCAUUUGUCGAACUUUGCAAUGAAGAAAAAUAAAUUUACUACUCACUUUUAUGGGUAGAGAGGAGGAUAUGGGGUUUGUGGUCAUAAUAUAAUUUUAUAUAUUUGGCCUACUCUCCUGUCCUCUCCUCUCCCCCCAUCUCUCUUAAUCCAAACAUGGGAUUUCAACACGAUGAAUUUCAUUCUUAUGUGCAAGGUAUAUGAGCUUGCAAGAUGACCUUCCUUCAAUUUUCACUUGAUGAGUCCAAGAUGAAAAUGUCUUUGUUGUGUCCCCCAGCCCCAGAUCAAAUUAGCAUUUUCAAUAACAUCUAGUUUAAGUUCAUAUCAAUAUUUAUACUCCAGAACUAUUGGAAAUUAAACUCCAAACUAUUAAAUGCUUGUUCCCUUGGGAAUUUUGAUUUCCAAAUGGGACUCUCAAUGUGAUAUGGAGAAGGUAAAAUAUUUUGGUGGUUGCACUUGGGAAAAAUAUUUAAGUGGGAGUUUUUUCAGGUAUAUAACAUUAAGUUGGGAAAUUUAUAGAAUUCAAAGAAAUGGAUAUCACUGGAGAAAAGGAGCUCAAUGGAAAUUUCCUACUACCAAAGAGGUAGUUUUAAAUUCUGUAAAAUACACAUGAGGGAGCAAGCUGUUGCUUUCCAAGAGGAGAUGGAAGUUGAGUUGGCAUUUGAGUUUCAAAAAUGGAUUAGAGGAUAUUUUAGGCAAUCAGGCUGGCUUUAGAUUUGGUUUGUACUUUGUAGUUCAAUAAAUAAGCACUGAUGAUGAUGAUAAUAACAUGAACAGGCUACAACUUGGGAAACUUCAGGUUGGUUAAUUCAUGGUUUACUGCUACUGCAGUGUUAUGUUGUCAUCAUCUUGGUUUGAGUCGACUUAACUGGCAUUUUCAUUAUGUAACCUUCACUGCUAAAUCAUAAUGUCUGUUCUACCAUUUCUUGUGGACUGCAUAACUUGCAUGAUUCCAGAGUGCUUCACUAGACUGUUUGGAAUUUUGUGGAUAUAUCAUAGGGUAUUGAUUCCCUUGGUCUCACUUUAUUGGCAAAGCUAUGUGUAUUAUUUAUCCAAAAUAAAAAUCAUAAAUCUCUAUACAUUUGUAGUUUCUCUUCUUGCUGUUGAUGUCAUGCGUUUUUUAUAAUACUGCAUUUUAUUCUUCGAGGAGACAUUUCUUAAUUUUUAUGCAAAUAUCAAAUCAUUUCAUUUAGAGCAUCAGAGGUUGUCCUGCCAUAAUAUUUCAAAUCUUUAAUGCAGCGAACCAUUUUUUAUAUCUUCAUGUGAAAUCAUUGUGUGUUGUGGUAAUGCUUGAUUUGUGAUGACUCUCAAACCAAAUAGUGUAUGUCUGCCAGUAAAAGCAAGUUAAAAAAAAAUGGAACGAUUUUAUUGUCCAAUUUUCCACAAAAAAAGAUUAUUGCUGGUGUGUUUAUCUUAUUUUACUUGAUUAUAACCCCUUUAGAGAUAGCCAACAAAAUCCUUAGGUGGCAUCAUUUUGGGUGAUUAUGCCACAUGAACAGAAUUAACAAGUAUCCUAACUAGGCAACCACUGCCAUGUAGUUGAGGUUAUAGUUUGUUGCAGCUAAAUAAUUUGAGAUUUUAGCCUUUUCUCCUUUUUGACAUUUUAUGUCAAUACGUGUUUCUUAAGAAGCAGAGUACAUAAACUUAAGGUGGCACUGGUGUAGUCAAAAGUCACAUGAAUAAAAAUAUUGAAUUUCCUCUAACCAGACUCAGUGGGAUAUUGUUGAACCCUGGUAGGAAAAA
Quercus lobata is the source of this 3763-nucleotide long non-coding RNA. RefSeq lists it as uncharacterized. The transcript has 7 exons. The record is from RefSeq and is a predicted model, not a curated record. NCBI's taxonomy places the organism in Eukaryota, Viridiplantae, Streptophyta, Magnoliopsida, Fagales, Fagaceae.